RNAcentral lists this ribosomal RNA (478 nucleotides) under uncultured bacterium. Its description in RNAcentral is "partial 16S ribosomal RNA". It matches the Rfam family "Bacterial small subunit ribosomal RNA", at positions 28 to 523 of the family's 1533-position model. The record is from RNAcentral.
GACGAACGCUGGCGGCGUGCUUAACACAUGCAAGUCGAACGGUAAGGCCCUUCGGGGUACACGAGUGGCGAACGGGUGAGUAACACGUGGGUGAUCUGCCCUGCACUUCGGGAUAAGCCUGGGAAACUGGGUCUAAUACCGGAUAGGACCACUGCCUGCAUGGGGGGUGGUGGAAAGCUUUUGCGGUGUGGGAUGGGCCCGCGGCCUAUCAGCUUGUUGGUGGGGUGAUGGCCUACCAAGGCGACGACGGGUAGCCGGCCUGAGAGGGUGACCGGCCACACUGGGACUGAGAUACGGCCCAGACUCCUACGGGAGGCAGCAGUGGGGAGUAUUGCUCAAUGGGCGCAAGCCUGAUGCAGCGACGCCGCGUGAGGGAUGACGGCCUUCGGGUUGUAAACCUCUUUCAGCACCGACGAAGCGCAAGUGACGGUAGGUGCAGAAGAAGGACCGGCCAACUACGUGCCAGCAGCCGCUGUAA